UUUUGGUUCAUAUGUCAGAGUUAAUUCUUUUAUCUAUCAAGCUUCACUAAGCUCGUUCUUAACGGCAUCAGUUCUUUCAUCAAGAAACUUCUUUUCCAAAAAGAAUGCCUUAAGAUUCACGAACAUCUCAUGUCCAUUGAGAAGGUAAAAACAAUAUUUUUAAAAUGAUAUUUAUCAGAUCAAGAUCUAAGAUAUUCGAUUUAUGAACGUUUCACAUAAGUCCGACAUCUCAAACCCUAAAGUAAGAGAGUAUUGAAUUAUCCAAGUCCAUAUCUCAUAUGAAGAUUUGGUGACUGAUUUACUCACAACAUUCUUGAGCAC
This 321-nucleotide long non-coding RNA is filed under the name Elaeis guineensis (African oil palm). RNAcentral's name for it is "long non-coding RNA (EGUI_LNC027703)". Lineage: Eukaryota; Viridiplantae; Streptophyta; Magnoliopsida; Arecales; Arecaceae. The record is from RNAcentral.